UGUAAUUAAUCGAAACGCACCAUUUUCAAUGCUAUUUUCAUUGUACCGAUUUCAAAUUGAAGUUACCCCGCGUACGCGAAUUCAUUCCAGCCUACGCCCAGUUCUCCUUCCCACUCCCCGCGUCGAAUCUUUGUUGUCCACCUCCACCGGCGACGCCGACACCGAGCUCAGCGUACAGCAAAACCCGCAUUCAUUUUCUUGAACGCAUCCUAUCCUCUCCCCAAAAGCAAAACCCUGCGUUGCGUCCCUUCGUCUCACCCCCCCUCCCCGCGUCGCAACCCAUCCCCACCAGCCCCAACCUACUCGUGUCUCCCAGCUCUCCUCCCUCCCUCUCUGCCUCCCAUCUCCCUUUCUUUCUCCUCUUCGGUAUAGCUCUCCUCUCCGAAUCUUAUUGGGCAGCUCUCCUCCACGGUUGCUUUUGGGACGACUCUCCUCCACGGUUGCUUUUGGGACGGCUCUCCUCCAUGGAUGCUGUGAAACUCUCUAUCUUCCUUGCUUCAAAAUCAACAUAAAAUUCAAAAUCUACAUUUCGACCAAUAGGUGAGAGGGUUCCUACCCUAGAAUCGUCCCUCCCUAUGUUGCUUAUUUAAACCAACUGCAUGGGUUUUAAGUUUGGGUUGAUGUUUGGUUUGUGUUUGUACUUUGUGCAUAGCAUGAUUAUCAAUUUUGGGUAUUUUGGUUGUCUUCUAUAGCACGGUUGGUAUAACAGUUCGAAUGAAUGACCCUGUUACAAGAUUAAAGGCAAGAAAUAUGCAUGAUUAAGAAUAUAAUUAUUGUGGGUCUUUUGAACUGGAAUUGAUUAAUUUGAGAAAAGCCCUAGAAAAUAACACCCACACCAUUAUAUGCUUCUGCUUCUAUGUUGUUCUGCGCUUUUAGCUCUAUAGACUUGAAAAUUGGACUCUUCAGGUUUCAUCCAAGUGUAAUAAACCUUGUCAACAUGUUUGGAGCACCUGAGAUUGGGCUUAACAUGGAUUGUUCUUGAUGGUACUUCUUUUUAUGUGCCUUAUAACCAUUUGGCAUGCAGCUUCCAACAACAAUCUUGCAAAUUAAACAGAACAAUUAUAGUUCCUCCGAUAGUAAUAACAAAAUAGUGGAAUGUUGUGUUUUGUCUAUGUUAAAACAGAUUAACUUGCAUGAGAGCCUUUAAAACUGCACAUUUCAUUCGUGGCAGAGAUAACAUGUAGUCCCAAUAAUCCCCCUGCCAUUUAAGUCACAAUUGUAAUAGAAUAGCCCAAAUAGCCCCACGUUUCACACCAUGAAUAAUAUGGUUAAAAGCUUUUUAUUUGUUUUCACUUUUCAUAUUAUUUUUUCUUCUCCUUUAUUUUUUAUUUACUGUUAUCAAUUAUGAUUGGGCAUAUAUAGACAACAUGAUUUGGUAGUAUAAAACGGACCAAGUUCAAUGAUAAGACUUUAAUGAUGCUUUAUUUUUUUUUAGUUUUCAUAUUAUUAUUAUUAUUAUUAUUUUCUGUUAUCAAUGAUGAGACACUAAUAUUAAUUUUUCGCCAUUUGCCAUCAUGUGCUUCCCCUUUAAAGUGUUCAAUCACUUUUAUAUAAUUAGUGUGAUGGGGGAAGAGGAAGAUCGAAUCGCCCCCAAGCCUUCGAUGUCGACUUCGCAGUCAUUAAUGCGUCCCAAAAUACUUUUAGAGAUCCAAUUGAUUACCAUCAUAAUUAUGAUGUAAAUUCCUUGUACUGUCCGAAUUCGAGUAAUUCAGAUAACUUCCAGCAAGAAUUUUCUGCAUGUCCAGAUCCAUCAGAAAAUGUUGGUUGAUGAAAUGUUAUUUGACCUAAAUGAAGAUUUGGAGGGUACCAUUGUUGUCCCGGAUGAUGAGGUACGGGUUGAAGCACCAAGAUCUCUGGAAUGGAAUUUGUUAGUGAGAAUGAGCUUAUGAACUAUUAUAAGAAAUAUGCCAAGCAAAAGGGGUUUGGUGUAAGGACACAGAGGACUAAGAGAGAUGAUGAUGGGAGAUCCGUGUAUGUUACUAUUGGUUGUGCUCGUGGCGGAAAAUACCAACCUAAGAAUAUUAAUAUGUCGAAGCCACAUGCAAUAACGAAAACGGAUUGUAAAGCGAAGAUAAAUGCGACUUUGAACAAGAACAAGAAAUGGGUUAUCGCUAUUGUCGAAAGUGCACACAACCACAUUACAAUCAGCCCCAAGAAGACAAGACUCUUGUGAUCUCACAGGCGUCUAGAUGAGCAUAGUCAAAAGAUCCUUGACCUCAAUGAUAGAGUCGGUAUUCGAAUGAAUAAGAAUUAUUUUUCUCUAGUCGUUGAUGCGGGGCGUUUUGAAAAUCUAGAGUUUCAAGAGAGAGAUUGUCAAAAUUUCAUUGACAAAACUAGACAUUUAAGUUUGGGUAAAUGAGGUGGCGAUGCCCUUUAUGACUAUUUUCAAAGAAUGAGAAAGCAGAAUGAUGGCUUCGUUUCUUCCAUGGAUGUCGAUGAUGAUGGAAGGUUACGCAAUGUAUUUUGGGCUGAUGCACGGAGUCGAGCAGCCUAUGAUACAAUAUACCUAACAAACCGAUAUGGGAUGUCGUUCGCUCCAUUUGUUGGCGUUAACCAUCAUGGACAGUCCAUACUACUAGGGGCGGGGUUGCUGUCAAGCGAGGACACGCAUUCAUUUGUUUGGUUGUUUCGCAUAUGGUUGGAUUGUAUGAAUGGUCAAGCGUCCAAAGCCAUCAUAACUGAUCAAGACCGGGCAAUGAAGAACGUAAUCCAAAUCGUAUUCCCAGAAACCCAUCAUAGAUUUUGUCUAUAGCAUAUCAUGCGCAAACUCUUAGAGAAGUUAGGAUCUCACUCCCAUUUCAGCACAGGGUUGAAGACCUCAAUUCAGUCUGCAUUGUAUGAUUCUUAAACCUGCACGAAAUUUGAAGAGAUGUGGAGUGAACUUCUUGAUAAAUAUGAUCUUAGAGGUAAUCAUUGGCUCAACUCCUUAUAUGAGGAAAGGACUUUUUGGGUCCCCGUUUACUUGAAGGAUGUAUUUUGGGAGGGUAUGAGCACGACACAACGGUCAGAAAGUAUGAAUGCUUUUUUCGAUGGGUAUGUCCAUUCUGGUACCACCUUGAAGGAAAUCGUGGAUCAAUUUGAUAAUGCUUUAAGAAAGAAGGUGGAAGUAGAGACAACGACUGAUUUCAACUCAAGUAACCAAAUGAUCCCCUGCAUUUCUCCUUUCAACUUUGAGAAGCAGUUUUAGAAGGUAUACACAAACACAAAGUUUAAAGAAUUCCAAAAAGAGUUGAUGGGCCUAAUGUGUUGUAACUGCACACUGGUAAGCAAGCAAGGUGCAUUUCAACCUUUGAUAUCUUGGAUGAAAUCUCUAUUCAUGACUGCAACAAAAUUGUCCACUACACACUCUACUAUAACGAAGAUGAAUGCGAGUUAAAAUGCACGUGUGCAUUGUUUGAGAUGAGGGGAAUUUUGUGUAGGCAUGAACUUAAAAUUUUGCAUCUGUCCCGAAUUAACAUGGUGUCAGAUAGAUAUGUCUUGGAUCGCUGGAGGAAGGACGAGAAGAGGACAUACACACUGAUCAAAAGUAGUUAUGAUGAUGAGCAUGCCAGUGGAGAUUCACAGAGGUAUGAGAUGGUGGUUAAAAGAUGCAUGAAAUUAGCAACGAAAAUAUCCCCAAGUGAUGAGCGAGUCAAUGCAUUCCUGAAGGUUGUGGAUGACUUUGAUUCAAAAUGUGAUGAUGAAACAUUUGGGUCAAGAUCCGAAUCAACACAAUUUGGACCAAACGUCGACGCAGACAAGGGUAAAAAGAUAUUAGGCCCUAAUGUGGUCCAAGGUAAAGGAAGACCCCUAAGUAAGAAAAAGGUUCCCCCUGUGGAGAAGAUUACAAGGAAGAGAAAUGUAGGCUUGCAACCAUUUCUUUUGUAAUGUAGGCUUGAAAUUAUUUUUUUCACAUUUAAUCUUUGUCAACCAUUUCUUUUGUAAUGUAGGCUUGCAGAAAAAUAUUGGAUGAUCAAACACAAUUUGGUGACACCCCGGGAUCUGAACAACACCAAUCUGAACAUGGGGUUGGUGUUGGGACACAAAACAGUUCAGUCACACAAUUUAUGCCAGAAGGAAAUCAGGAGGUCUUCGGCUAUUGGUUACAUGUGUAUUUGAAGAUAUUUUUUGUUUUAUAAAUUUUGACUUGUGUAAAUUACAAGUUGUUUACAGCUCAGUUUCACUUCUUUCAAAUCUGAACGAGAAAUGAGAUGCUAUUUUUGUGUCAGUCAUGGUAGUGUUUGUGGUUUUUUGGUCCUUGUGGAUCGGUUUGUGUGUAGUUUGUGAGAAUGUGGAAGUGUUUCACAUUUUUUCCUCUUGGAGAGGGUUGUGUGUAGUUUGUGAAUAUGCAAAGUUGAUUUUUUUUUUUUUUUUAAUUAUCUAGAAGGGGGUAGGGUGUACUUAUUUUGUUUUUUUGCAAAAGGUGGGGAAUAUGCCUAAGGUGGGGAUGGGCUACGUGAUGUGUAACAUUUUUGUAUCAUUUGGGGUAUUUUUGUGUACUUCGUGAAUAUGCCAAUUGUAGGUUUUUGUGCAAACAUUCAAUGGCUUAUAUUUUUUGUUGGAAAGGAAGAGGUGGGGUUUUUUUGUACCAUGAGCUGACUUGUCUUCCUGAAACUGGUUAAUUCAGUGGUGCCAUAUACAUUUAUAUUCAACUCAACUUUGUUGAAUCCAGGUAUAGUAGAUUGAUUUGUUUUCAGAUUUGUAUGAAGCACAUGCAGCUGUCUGCAGCUUUUAUCAUCCUGUACCUGGGCGAUGCCCUCUAUGGUUAACAAAAUGUUUUUGGCUUGAUGAUGUAGAGAUUAUCAGUUUUGCUCAUCUUGGAUUUACAGCUUUUCUUUCUCACUACAAUUAUUUUGUGUGCUAAGCUCAAUUAGGUGACCUACUAAUCUGUUAACCAUAGCCGGGACAUUAAGGGGAGGAGUUUGGAAAUACACGGGAAGAAUGAGGGUUUUCUUGGAUGGUCAUAGGUACAAAUUAAACAGUAUCAAAAUAUUGGUUUUGAUAGUUUUAUUAUGAAUUUCCUUGGCUUUUAUGUGUUUUUUUGACGGAUUGUGUGAUAUAAACUGCAUAUUGGACAUGUUUGAUAAUAUCUAGUUGGAGGUGAAAUUAUUGGUGACUACCCUGAUUAGCUUGCUAUUGCUAUUUUUAUGCUGAUGGGAAUUUUAUGCUGAUGGGAAUUUAAUGCAACAUGAAGUGGUUUUUGUUUCUUAAUAGUGCACAAACUAUUGUCACAACAACCUUGCUGCUGAAAGGGGACAUAUAGGUAUGUUACACAUUAAACUCGUAUCUAGAGUCUGGUAAUUUGCCUAAAUAAUUUUAUUUUUGACUUCUCGUGGCGGAGCACAACAAUUGCAGUGGUUUCAUUUGAUUUGAUGCUGAAGGGACAUUACCAACCGGGGUUCGCACUUGAUAAUCUGGAGCUUUGGAUGCAUAUCUGACCAUUGUUUGCAUGCUAUCAUAUAUCCUGAAGGAUUGACAGUGAUGCGUAAUAAUUUUAGGUAGAACUUAUUCUAAGUACUGGUGCAGACUUCGGGAAAAAUAUCCUAGCUUCCAUGGAUGUGUAGCAGCCUGUUUUAAAUUGGUUACAUUUUAUUUUGCAGCUCAGUUUCACUUGAUAAAUAUCUAUGCCGUAUGCAGUUUAUGGAAGUAAGCUCAACAACUUCGGGUAUCUAACAAACCGAUUUAUGCAUAUAUUGACAUGAAUGUAUUUUUUUGGCCCUCGGGAUCUACUCACUGCAAUAAAUCACUACUGAAAUUUUAUUAUAUCUUGGUGUUGUUUUGCAGGAAGUGAAUGUUACAUUAUAGACUAACGUGGUGAUUUUUUCCGGUUCAUGGUGGGAGCUUGAAGAUUUGCCAGUUGAACAUAAUAGUCCAGGUGGGAGCUUGAAGAUUUGCCAGUUGAACAUAAUAGUCCAGAUUUAUUCUUUUCAAUUAUACUGCUAGUAGUACUUUAUGAUGUAACAUUAUAGCAGAGAAAGAUUCUUUGUAUUCUAGUCCAUGGAAGCUGUUGGUGACGUUUAGUGUGUAAACCGAAGCCAAUGGUUAUGGAGAAAGUUUACGGGUUGCCUUGUAACUAUCAGC
Long non-coding RNA from Carya illinoinensis, 6060 nucleotides. RefSeq lists it as uncharacterized. Lineage: Eukaryota; Viridiplantae; Streptophyta; Magnoliopsida; Fagales; Juglandaceae. The transcript is spliced from 3 exons. The record is from RefSeq and is a predicted model, not a curated record.